GUCUUGACAGGGGACUCCUUGGGUCCCCUCUUCUCAAACCCACUCCUCCCCGCGGGUCGCGGCGUGCAGUCUUGAGAUCACGAGGGCCCGGGAUAGCUACGGUGACCCCAAGGCGCCCGAGCCCACGGAGGUUCAUUGCAUCAGCACUGAGUUCACACCUCAGAAGAAAGGUGGAGAGAAAGGUGUCCCUUUCUACCUCCAGAUCAAUAUCUUCAAGCCCAGUGACAAGGCAUCUGUAGAGCACCUGCAUUUGGCUGGCUGCCUCAUCAAGGUGUUCAAGGUUUGGGCAGCCCUGGGCCCCCUCCACCCCUGGCUCUGCCUUGCUGUGGACUUUCAGCCUUCCAAGCCUCUGUUUUGGGACUCUCCUCCUUUUCUAUACAGAGAGGGAUGGGGUUUGUGGUGAGCAGGGAAAGCUUCUGUAUCACCCUUCUGGAACCCAAAGGAGCUGACUAGAAACUGAAAACUGACCAGGAGAAGAUUGUGAAACAACCCCUGCCUGAGAGACAACUCUCGGAGCCCUCAAGAACAUGGUCUUCUUGGAGUAUUUGCCCCAGCCAGAAUUUACUGCAGCCACCUCAGUCCUCUCACUCUGACCUCUGCCAAGGCCUGCAAGCUCCUGUAGGAUGUGCAUGUAUCAGCCCCUUCAGGUACUGUUUUUCACCAUCAUUCACCUGGGACACCUUGGGAUUCAGCUCAGUUGAGGUGAGUCCUUUCUAUCACUCAACCAUGGUCCCAAAGCCCUCUUGAAGCCUCCUGUCUCUCCAGAACAGGGUAACUCUGCCCCCUGGGGGCCUCACUUGGUAUGGCCACAGAUUAUAAUUGACCAGCUAGGACCUGGCAGGAGCCUCUCAGGGGAAGGACUGAUUCCUCUCCACCUUGUUUUCAGCCCCCAGGUCUCUGGGUAUCACCUGGAGCCCUGUUUAUGUCUCAGGACCUGAACCCUGGCACCUCCAUUUCAGACACACAGCUGGUUGCAUGGGCACUGGUGAGGUUGCAUCUGGAAGGGACUGAGUAUGGGACACUGAGGCAGAAGGCCUUUGUCUUGACUUGCUGUGUCCUUCAACUAACCUUUAU
Ictidomys tridecemlineatus (thirteen-lined ground squirrel) is the source of this 1074-nucleotide non-coding RNA. The record is from RefSeq and is a predicted model, not a curated record. NCBI's taxonomy places the organism in Eukaryota, Metazoa, Chordata, Mammalia, Rodentia, Sciuridae.